GGAGCUGGGAGGUCGCGAGUUGGCUAUUCGUUUCGAGGAGGGCUAUGAAGCAAUGUAACCAAGACUGUCGGCGACAGCUUCAUAGAGAAGAGACUCACGAGAUUUGUCAUGGCACUGCGAACCAAGACUUUGGAGAUCCGAAGAAUGCGGUAGCCCCGUUUGCUCGCAAAAGCCGCUUCGGAUCCCUGAGGCUGUCAAGAGUUUGAGUUACGCACGAAAGAUGAGAUAAUCCCAUGUUUUAGGUUCAAUGAAAGCAGAAGCAGAAGCAACGGGCUAUCCACGAAAUGAGAAUGCACAAAUAUGGGCUUCUUGAGGGUGAAGUUUGGAGGGCGUGAAGAAUGUAACAGUACUGCAACCACGUAGGAUCCGCCAUGUACUUCUUUCCGACGGGUCCCUCAAAGAAUAACUCACGUGAGUCACUUGAGCUUGCUUCCAUAUUUCUCUGCUCCUCACGGUAACUCAACCUCUAGGAAACGGACAACAUGAUGUAAAGGGAGGGUAACGUCCCAAACCCUAGGGCAAGCAAUAUAGGUGAGUAUGUCAAAGUGAUAAAAUAAACGAUUCGGCUCACCGUUAUGCUACAAACCUCCCCAUAUCCCACAUUGUUUGUAUACAAGCGGAUGUAUCUCCCAUAGCUAUAGUCGCAACGGAUGUAUUGUCGAUCCACCGUGACGAGGAUUGUCGACGUUUGGAGGAGUUUUGGGGGACGACCUAGGGUUAGAGCCUACAAAAUUGUAGGGUUGUGUUCACCUGCGUGUGUAUUUUCGAUCGUAGAGUAACGGAUCAGAGAAAGCGGUCAGAAACUCAAUGGAUAUGGGCAGGGAGUAUAGGUGAGGGUGCCAGCCGCGGCCAACCUGCAACUUGCCACCUGGCCAGUGUUAUCUAAUCUAAUCUAUGUUCCACUAUAUGGUUCGGCGUCGUUCACUGCCAUCAGUACGGUACUUGUUACGUUGGUGGGCCCCGGGGAAGAAAACAAACAUUAUCAUCUACUUAAUUCCAGGAGUGCUAGGAUUGGAAUGGUCGAGCCCCGAGGCUUUGUGAGCAACCCACUCCUCGCAUAUGCGUCUGCACAGGAUGUCCAACUUCAAUCCGACUCACCCCCUUAAUGCACACAAUGAUACACACAAGUCGUGCACUCGGAAGGUACCAAUUCUCGUAUACUCCUUUCCAUUUUGGACCAUCCCCAAUGUCGAUCUGGCCAGACGAACUCCAGCGCUCGUAACUAGUACUCAGUACUCAUCCCUGGAUCAUCGACACCUCGUCCUCCCCGCACUUCCGGAACAGCUCCCCCCAGCUCCCCCGUCAUCUCCCUCCACACCGGCCCCCGCAAAAAGUCGCGCACGCGCGCGUCAUGCGGGUCCACGACCUGGUCCUUGUCCCCCAUCUUCGCGAACAGGAACAGGCCCCGCAGCCCGACCCGGUGCAGCGCCAGCGGGCACGCGUCGUGCUUCGCCAGCUCCCCGAACCGGAUGUUCGCGUUCAGCACCUCGUCCAUGUCCAUAUCCACGCCCACGCCCGCACCCACGCCCACGCCCACGCCCACGUCUGCCGCUCGGCAUCGGCACCUGUAUGAUUCCUGCGCUCCGGAGUCUGCUCGGGAUGACGGCCGGGUAACCCCCACUGGUCGAGCUCCGGCUCGCGCAGCCACCUGCGAAUGAGGCGGAGCGCGGCGGCGACGGCGGCGACGGCCGCCACGUCGUUCGGGGCCGUCGCGGCCGCGAGGAUGCCCCCGUCGGCGAGGAGCUCGCGCGCGCCCUCGAUGGGGGCCCGCGCCGGACCUGCGUCCGGACGGACUCGAGGAAGUCGACGCCGGCGCGCAGGAGGUAGCCUUGAGUAAGUGGAAGCUAGAGUAUAGCGGUAAGUAGCCCCACGAGUUGUUCGCCGGCUCGUCGUCGCCGGAGGUGUCAAAUUUGAGCGAGGCCUCGAUUUCUAAGUUCUUCGCGCCUGUUAGCGCGGCGGACGUGGAUGAGCCACAUGGGCGGCGGUCCUGUGUGGCACGUCGUUUGAGGACUUCAGCGCGCAAGGCGAAGGGAACACUGACCUCGCAUGCGCAGGUUGCAAGUGUGGGUUUCGAGGGGAAAUCCUGGCUGGACUGGACGUCAAUGCGUGCGCCGGGUGGGGACGAGACCAACCCUACCUCGUGUAGGUCGUGCGAGCUAAAAUCUAUUCGCGAUUGAGGAUGUACCGACGAAGGCCAGUGAUGGUGAUGGUGGAAGCAGAGAGCGAGGAGGCAAUAGGAGACAGGAGGAAGGCCGAAGGGGUGUAACAUAUGCGCGUCGCAGAGGCACGUCCACCUAUCCGUCGACACGUCCACCGGUGAGGUCGAAGGCUGAAUAUUAAUAUUUAUCAUCCCAAAGUGCGAAUCGUAGUCCGAAGCUUGAUCGAGAAAGAAACCCAAAAUAUAUUCCUAGGACCGAAGACAUGCGAAAAAAAAAACCCUCCCCCACAACACCAUCGAGUCCGGAGAGGCUUCUCAACAUCAGUUAUAUAGCAAAGAGAACCACACCCUCGCCACGAAGCGGUGGUAAUGCAAGACAUGGAUGCUCUCAAAACAGAAUCCAAAGACGGCUCACCCUAUAUCCAGCAACCUUCUGAGAGUGACGCACGACGGCCCCUUCCUUCGUGAUCGUAUGUACAUUCUCGGCACACUGUUACCAGCAAUCAGCCCACGGCGCUCUCGUCAACGACAGACAGGUGACGACAGACGGACAUUGUAUGAUCUCUCCAUAUUCAACAAACGCUUUCGAUGUGUGUGUGGAGAGGCACAGGGCCAUCUUUACGAUUGCCAGUGAGCGGACACCUGCAACAAGACAAAAAUAUCAUAUGCUCCAUACACACAAACCUUUUCUUACAUACGCGGCGUCCUGCGACGCUGCAAGUGCUAGCCGCCGUGGAGAUGUGGAGACAUAGUAGGCGAGGGGAACAGAACAAAGAAAAGAAACGACCGACCGGACGUAGUACCGUAGUAGAGGGGCUAUAGGUAAAGCGACGUAACGAACAAGAGUGGAGAGUACCGCACCGCAUGCAUGACCGCCCGCCUAAAACCUCCCUUCAACCCUGGACCUCGACGCCGACUCGGACGGCCGCCGAGCGCACAUGCACGAGGCAGCAAUGAGUCAAAAUGAUGCUGGUGAAGAAGGAAGGGGUGGAGGGGACGGACUGGUGAGCACAUCCCGUCUGCAUCUCGAGCGUCCCCGGUGAGGUAGCCUCCAAUGUUGCGUGCGUCGCCUACAAGAAGUCCUCGGCCCUUGCUCGUUUCUUGCCGCGCAUCUCCUCGGGAGGUACAUUGGGCACGGGGCCGUCAGCGGAUACAGGGAAGAAGUACUUAGGGUUUCUUGACCGCGUCUCUUCCUGUGGGAUGGUUAGACAACGAGACAAAGGACAACGGUAGACGGCAACUUGCCGGUGAGAAGUUCGCAUCAGGCCACUUAAGAACCGUAGCCUUCUUGAACGUCGGAUUGACCUGCGCCAGGGACGGGUUCGGUAGUACGAGAGGGGUAGGUGGAACCGUGGACGCCGGCCGCUGCUGUUGUUGCUCUGGUUGCUGUUGUGGUGGUUGCUGGUCGUAUGUCGGAGGCGGGAUUGUUUGGGGAGGAGGCGCAACAGCGGGUACGAAGGUAGGAGCACCAAGGGGAGGAGCGCCGGGCACUCCGGGAGGAGGUGAGAGUGGUGACGCACCGGGAAUAGGAGGAAGGUUGACGCCGGGAGGCAACAUUCCCGGAGGUGGAGAGAAUGCUGGAGGCGGUACACCCGGUGGGCCCAUACCUGGAGGGAGGAACGGAGGAGGGAAAGGUGGUCUCACACCUGGAGGGAACGGUGGCACACCCGGUGGCAUCAUGCCAGGGGGUGGAGAGCCAGCGAAAGGCGGAGGCAUACCCGGGAAGCCGGGCGGCAGAGGCAUGCUGUUGACACCAAAAUGAGAAAGAUUCUAACACGAAUAGAAAUACGACUCACCCAGGCGGCAUAGGCAUGCCGGGAAGGGGGAAGGGCUGACCUGGGAAACCUGGAGGGGGAACUCCGGGCAUGAAAAGGGGCGCACCUGGAGGCAUAACUGGAGGAACACCUGGCGGAGACAUGACGGGCGUCGGGAUUGCAGGAGUAGGAGGAGCGGCAUAUGUUUGUGAAGGAGCUGCAUAGACUGCGCCCGAUGCGGCAUCUGGCACGGGGGGCGCAUUUGAUGCUUCUGAAGCGCCCAUGAGAGCCUUGUGAGCCUCAAGCUGGGCCUUAAGCUCGUCCUCGGAGAGGGGACGGUUCUCGAUCUUCGGCCGUUUGGACGGGGGCUGGGUGAUCGACCCAGGGUUCAAACCGAGCUCGAUCUCUUUACGUCGCUUGUAGUCUGCCACGUCAGGGGCUGGAAUACCCUCCAUACCGAAGAUCUCCACUUCGUAGCCAUCACGACCGGGGAGGGCGUUUUCAAUCCGGGGGAGACUGGGAGAAAAUAUAAGGGAGAGCGAGAAAGAAGGACCUUAAUAAUGACUCACUUGUCGGGCUCGAGCUUAUGAACUUGUUGGAUAUGGACGGCCAGACCACCGGCUGUGUUCAAGCGACGAGGGCAGAGGUUGCACUUGAAGUGCUUGGCUUUCUGGUGCUGCAUUAGCACUAGAACGUGUAUCAGUAACUAUAUGCGCACAACAGACCGAGGACUAGUCACCUUUCUCAUCCUCAAACUCCCUCUCACAAUACCAGCACCAGGGACGGAGAACCUUGGACAACUUUAGCAUCCGCACGUUCAUUCAAUAAAAUCACGUACCUGCUUGUUCUUUUUCUUAGCCAUGAUUGAGGGAAAUGAGGGCAGGGAAGGAUACGACGGGUGGACUUCGGGGAGGAGGCGACGGGCGGUGCUGAGAAGCGUCGGUCAAAGGAAAGUUUGCCAGUCAGCACAUAUUGGAACGGCGAUUCGGGCUUUUAAAAUAAUGAAGGCUCAAAGCCGGAGAUGUCUUUCGGAGAUUGAAUAAGAGACGUGAGUUUCCGAACUAACUAUAUCAGUCGAUGCGCAGCGAUGAGGCGCCUGAGCUGCGCUCGCAGCCCCUUUGGUCGACAGUGGUGCGACGCCGACGCCAGCGUCCUGGAGGCCAACGACGUCUACCUAGCUCGACUAUGAUAGCAAUAUUCGCCGUGACUCCAUAAAAUCAGAAUCCUGCGCCGUCGACGGACAACCCGCUGUGUUCUCUCCUCGACAAUGAUUGGACGUUCUUUCCGCGAAUACGUCUUCAUCCGCCUUUCCAUCCUCGGCCUCCGACUCAUCGCGCCGCUCAGCAUAACCUACUUGGCCGUGAGCUGGUACCAUGGACGUGCGCUGCUUUCACCGUGGCUGGCCUCCUAUGCGGCCGUGGAAGCUUUCUUCUACCUCUUGGUGGUGAUACCCCGAAGGCGAGUUCUACAGAAGGUGAGAUUUACCCCAAGUCCUCGUCGAUACAUAGCCUCGCAAGAAGGCCGGCAUCCCCUCGUACCUCGCUGUCCCGGGUUACGCGCCCCCUAAGAUUGGUUCUUAGUCUGGCAAAGUGUCAAUUCUGGUAUGGCUUGGGGUGAGGUAUACACCUUUACGGCCGGGUCACAAUGUCGUGGAACACAAAUUGCGGCUCGAGCUGACACCGUUGGAUCUAGCCAGCAACGCACCCACCACUACCCUCUCGCGAGGAACGCGAAGAGCUCUUCGCAAAAUGCUUCGCCAGGGUCAGCGAAGCCAGGAUGGCCACCGGCUGGUUCUUCUCCGUAGACUCAGCACUCAUCAAGCGCGAAAACAUGAUAGAGUGGCUGCUGUGGGCCAUUUUUGGCACGCAUAGGGAAGAUAUACGAGACGAGUGGGCCGACGAAAUCGAAGGAUACCUGCGUGAUAUCGAGGGGCUAUUCGGGCACAAGAUAAAUCACGGCCGAGCCCAUACCGUGGACUCCAUGAAGGUCUCGCUCGACCCUGUCGAAACGGUUCACAGACCUCUGCUUUGGUACCUCGUGGGUCACUUAUGCACGAACACAGGGAAAGUGUACUAACAUGCCGUAGAUCGUUGCAUUCGUCGACACCUACACGUUCAUCCAAUUGCGCCUCAGUGGUUUCGAACACUAUACCGACGGCUCAUGGACGGAAUGUUUUCCUCCUCGCCCCCUAACGGCUUUGUCCCACAAAUCAAGGCAGGAAGGCUUGAUCUACUGGCUCCGCCCUCAUCGUUCUUCCACAAAGGACCCAAUCCUCUUCCUGCAUGGCAUCGGGGUACGUCUCCAUCCCUUUCUUCCAAUCCCCGUUCACGAACGGCACAUCAGAUCGGAUUAUGGCCCUAUACCCCCUUCCUGCACGAGCUCGCCGCCGGCGACCCCUCCGUGGGCAUAAUCGCAAUCGAGACCCUCGCAAUCAGCAUGCGCAUGUCCCCCCCGCCCCUCCCGCGCCCCGCCAUGCUCUCCGCGCUCUCCGCGCUCCUCACCGCGCACGCCCUCCCGCGCGUCGUCGUCGCCGCACACUCCUACGGCACGAUCGUCGCCGCGCACAUGCUGCGCUCGCCCCUCCUGCGCCCGCGCGUCGCCGCGGUCGUGCUCGUCGACCCGAUCCCGUUCCUGCUGCACCAGCCCGCCGUCGCGUACAACUUUGUGUACCGCGCGCCGCGCGCCGCGAACGAGUGGCAGCUGUGGUACUUUGCGAGCCGCGACCCCGACAUCGCGCGCACGCUCGCGCGCCACUUCUUCUGGGCGGAGAACAUCCUCUGGCGCGAGGACCUCGCCGGCGCGCGCGCCGCCGUCGUCCUCAGCGGCCGCGACCAGAUCGUCGACGCGCGCGAGGUGCGGCGGUACCUUACGGGCGAGGCGUGUGCGGACGGGGAGGAGCCGCGCUUCCUUUGGCAGGCGGGGGAGGGCGAGGGCGAGGGCGAGGGCGAGGGCGAGGGCGAGGGCGAGGGCGACCUGAGGGUCCUGUGGUACCGCGAUCUGGACCAUGCGCAGGUGUUUGAUACGAGGGCGCGCCGGCGGCCCAUCUUGGACGUCCUCCACGAGUUCGCGGGGCGGGAGGUGGGAGCUGCGUUCUGAAACUUAGCGCGAUCUGAGCGUCCCCGCUCGAGCUCGAGACCGGAGUGGGUGUUUGGUGAUGGCUGAAAUUAUACCAGGCUGAGUACGGUCUACCUACAUUUGAUAAAGUACAAAAACAUCAAAACAUACUACUUAUACCCGACUUGAUAUCAUCUCGCUAUGACGAGUGGUGGUGUGAUCGGGGGUGAUGCGCGCGAGAGCGGAGGAGGAGCAGAAAACAACAACAGCCAGUGUCCCUAUGUCAAUGUCAGAACCGAGAUCAUCUCCCCCCACGACGCCCAUCAUCAGGGCUGCUUCUCCAGGCCUCGGAGUCAGACCAUCGGACCGCAGGACUCAGACUCAGGACUCAGGUUCAGGACUCAGUACGCGACCGUGAUACCCGAGCCCUCCCACUUCUCCCAGUUCGGCAGCACGUCGCAGACGAUGUAGUGCGCGAUGUCCUUGCGCGACACGCGGUACCCGUCUCCAAAGUCCCCAUCCUUGAUCGUCCGGUACGGCGCCUUCCCCUUCUUCGCGCCCGCGUCGCCCUUGCACUCCCCGUCCGUGAGCAGCGCGGGGCGGAUGAUGACGAGGUGCUUGACCUCGCCCGCGGGGAGCCCGGGCGUGUCCUCCCACCCCGCGGGGAGGACCGCGGGCUUGACGGCGUCGGUGCCGGGCCACGCGCGCCCGGUGACGUGCGCGAGCACGCGCUCCGCGCCGAGCUUGUCGUCGUGCGGGCCGGCGAGCACCGCGCUGUAGAACGGCUUGAGCGCGAGCGGGAGCGCCUUGUGCGAGGCGGCGGUGAUGCCCAUCGACGUGAGCACGACAAAGUGCGGCUGCGCGCCUGGGGCGCGGAGCGCGUCGGGCAUCGUGCUGAAGGUGUUGAUGAGCGAGCGCGUGACGAGGUCGGCGGGGUUGAAGACCAGGCCGCAGGUGAUGGAGAACGUGGGCCGGCCGCCUGUGUGCAGCGCGGUCGGUCAGAAUGGAGAUGGUUUGGAGAGGGAUACUUGUGGGAAGGACGUGAGACGUACCGAGAGUGAAGACGACGGCGUCGAUCUUGCCGUUUCCGAUUUCGAGGGCCUUGGCCCAGGCGUUGCGGACGGACUCGGCGUCGAGGCCAUCGCCGCGGACGAGGUUGGCCUUGCCCUCUUUGAUGAAGGGCGCCAUGUCCGCAUCGUUGUCGAACGCGCUGGUUGAGCGCAGGAGGUAGGUGACAGUCGCCCCUUGCUCUGUACGAUUAUCAAUGUCAAUAAAGACGCGACAUUUUCAACAGGCCAGAAGAAACGUACUCAGGAGGCGGAGGCCGGCGAAGUAGCCGAUGUUCUUGGACGCGCCAAUAGCAAAGACGUUCAUGUUGCGGGCAGGUGGGGAGUUAUGUGAUGAGAAGAGGAGUGUUGAAAGAGGAGUUGGAUGCUGAACGCCAUCGACUUUGACGGCGAGCCUUUAUACAGGCACGGAAAGAAGCCACUCGUAUCCGGCCCACGAACGUUGAGCGAGUGCAGCACCGCUCCGCAGUAGCCACGUCGCGGCGCCCAAGGGACGUGUCAAGAGGACCAGAUGUUUGCUACAACGCUAGACUCGAAGCAGUCGAGCGGGACGUAUCAGAGACACAAGCGUAUCAACGGAGAUCGGCCGGGGAGAGGCUGUGCCUCACAUCGUCGUACGGAAAUCAAUUAGCGGCCGGAUAGUGAGCUGCAUGCGUCAGCGUUUUUGGAGCGGAUGGAGACAGUCGGCAUCACUUCCUCCUGGCCGGUCCGCGAAAAAGAGGCCUGUGACAAGCAUGUCCGCGGCACAAUGCUCCAUCAACGCGUUUCGCCUGCAGCGAAUCAAUGCCAGGCGGGCCAUCCUAUCCUGGGAUGGAGUGCCAGUGAAUGCCUUCAUUCGACCAGCUGUGUUUCAGAAUCUUUCUCCGUGGUCGGAAACAUACACCCUCGCAUACACAGGAGUACGUCAUCCGAACGUAGCGCGACAAUGGGACGGGGCUGUGCCCUGACGGCAAUCCACCUGACGCAUCUUCAAAUUGUCUUCGAAUGAUGGAGCAAGGGAGUCGCGGAUUGCAUCCUGUACCCGGGAGUGCCUGGGCACGCGCCGAAAGUCUCCGAGCUACAAAGUUCGUCUUACGAGCGACAGAUACUGUACCUAUUAGUAUAUGGAUCCGAUCCUCCGCAGCCACAAGUUGCCGCCACAGACGUUGUACCGUUUGGGCCCUGGGUUGGGCGGCGAAAGGGCGCAUGCUCACCGGUACUACACUUCCUUGCCCUGGCUCACUGACGCGUCAUGGCUUGCGAGUUCACUCGGAAGCCGGCACCGUUGCAGGCGCAGCGACACAACACACAAGUGCCGUGCAGGCCCGGCGCAUUUGCACCGGAUGGAUUGCUCUACUGCGGGCGGAGUACAUGCAUGUUUUGUAUUGCUCUAGUGGUGGGACUCCUUCGCGAUCUGCGCCGCGUACGGGUUGCGCGGGUCGUUGCGGAAGCCUUCCGCUGCACGUCGACGUGUCAGUUGGCCAAGUGCGCUGAAGCUGCGCGGUGCAGCUGGAAGGGCUGGAGAACUCACACUUGACACCGAGGUCCUGCAUCUUGCCCACCAGGAACCACGUCAAAACACUCGCGGUGACGAAGGGCCACAUCGGCUUAGCGACCUGGGGACGGCGUUAGACGACUCUGCUCGCAGGUUCCGAGGACGGACGAACGGGAGUAGGCCACUUGCGGAGACCGAGGAAGCUCAUGGUGAAUGAUGUCUGGUGGUACAAGCCCAGUGAGAGGUCUAUGUCGUUGAAGCAGCGAGGCCGUACGUACGGAGUCAGGAAGUGGUGGUGGUGGUGGAUGUGCGGUGAGUGGAAGAAAACGCGGCAGUUUACGGAACGACGCCGGCGGCAAUUUCUUAACACCUUGUAACAACCAGAUCUGUAAUCUCUUCUUACUCGACUAUUUUGGGGUAAACUGACAGAGUUAUCGCCUUUUGUUACUGGCUCGCAUUACGCGUCUACUUACGAGCACCUUGCUCUGACCUCGCCGACCGUGGUCUCAGUUUCAGACGAGCGACGACCUAGACAUCCUUCACGUAUAUGCUCGGCUUGUGCUUCAGGGGGCUGCAAUACUAGCACUUAUCAGAAACUACCGCUCACUACUCUUGAGGUUACAGCUGUUCUCAUUGUCCAGUGCUGCGCAAAGCUUGCAGCAUACGUGACAUCAUAGGAUACCCCCUCAACAUCCUCGCAUUCAGAACUACUGUCUCUCUUUCCAUCUGCCAUGGCUCAGCAACCAGGAGGAAGUGCCGCCGCACCAGCAGUAUGUCUCUCUCCACAAUCCCGCGUCCUCAUCCCUCACUUCUCCUAGUGGAGACAAUUCCCCUUCUUCGAUGAGGUCCCUGUCAAGGACAUCCACGACCUCGGGAGUGCGCCAGAGGUGUUCCAGGUACGGUGCCCAUCCAUCCCCGCAUACGUCGCGCCCUUGACCAAUGCAUGCAGAAAACCCCAGAAAUAUCGACCAUUGUCGCGUCCUCCGUCGGCCUCGUCGUUGCGGACAUCCAUGGCAGCGUGUACCUCCUCAACCGAGAUUUCGAGAUCGCGAAGAGCUGGAUUGCGCAUAUGGGCGGGCGGGUCACACAUAUGGCGGAGAGGAGGGGGAUCCUGAUCACGCUCGGGGUACGUCCACAGCCAUCUCUGUCUACAAACACGCGCGUUGAGCUUGCGUGCGCAGGAAGAAGACACCGCACGACAUCCCUUCCUGAGGGUCUGGGAUCUGCAAACGUUCGACAAGAAGACCGGAGCCCCCCUGCUUCUCCGCUCAGCGAAGGUCCAGAGCGGCAGCCGCCCCCACCCCGUAAGUCCCAUCCAUCCUGCCCAACGCUACCCACAUAUACCUAUACCCACACGCCCCGCAACAAGGUCUCCACCAUCGCCCUCUCCUCUGCGCUCUCCUACCUCGCCAUCGGCCUCGGCGACGGCACCGUCCUCCUCUACCGGCACCUCGACCAGUCGAUCUACAGCGCCUCCGGCUCGCUCAGCACGCUCCCCAAGCCGCGCGUCAUCCACGAGUCCGCCGCGGAGCCCGUCACGGGGCUCGGCUUCCGCGAGCCGUCGGACGACGCGCCGAACGUGCACCUCUUCAUCGUCACGACGAACCGCGUGCUGUGCUACCAGGCGUCGGGCAAGGGCAGCGGCGGCGCGCCCGCGGUCGUCGACGAGAUCGGGGCCGGGCUCGGGUGCGCGAUCAUGGACUGGCGCGCGCAGGAGAUCGUCGUCGCAAGAGACGAGGCGAUAUACCUCGCCGGCACCGAGAGCCGCGGCGGCUGCUACGCGUACGAAGGUCGCUGCUCCCCGCUCCCUCACAUCCCGUAUGACAGAAAUUCCUGACAUGGUUGGCAGGCUUGAAGGCGCGGAUCCACACGCACCGCAACUACAUCGUCAUCGUGUCGCCGCCGUUCUCGCCGUCCGCGUCGGCGGCGUCGGCGACGGUGCGGAACUUCGUGGCACGGAACGCCGCGCCCGCGAGUGCGGACAUCACGAAGGUGUCCGUGUUCGACCCCGAGAACAAGUUCGUCGCGCAUACGAGCACGUUCACCGAGGGCGUGCGCGAGGUCUUCUCUGCGUGGGGCAAGCUCUAUGUCCUCUCGAACAGCGGCACGGUUUGUGUCUAUAUAUGCUGCCCCCCAAGUCAAAGCUGACGCUUGUCCGUGGGGAACAGCUGAUAUGUCUGGAGGAGAAGCCGACGUCGGCGAAGCUCGACAUGCUGUACCGCAAGGGGCUGUACCUCCUCGCGCUCAACAUCGCGGACACGCAGAAGCUGGACGAGUCGUUCAUUGCGGACAUCCACAAGCAGUACGGCGACCACCUGUACAACAAGGGCGAUUACGAUGGUGCCAUGGCGCAGUACAUCCAGACUAUCCGACAUGUCCAACCCAGCUACGUCAUCCGCAAGGUCAGCUUCCACGUUCAAUCUACCCCAGAUACAUGCUGACGUCGUCGCAGUUCCUCGAUGCGCAGCGGAUACACAACCUCGUAACGUAUCUGCAAGAGCUUCACUCACUUGGCAUGGCCAACUCCGACCACACCACGCUGCUCCUAAACACGUACACGAAGCUGAAGGACGUAACCCGCCUCGAUGGCUUCAUCAAGCGCGAGUCGUUGCGCACAUCCGCCGGCGGCGAGAAGGACGAGCUGCCCUUCGACCUCGACACGGCGAUCCGGGUGUGUCGGCAGGCGGGCUACUUCGAGCACGCCUCGUACCUUGCGAAGAAGUACGAGCGGCACGAGGACUACCUCCGGAUACAGAUUGAGGAUGCAGGUAACUACAAGGACGCACUGAUGUACCUGCGGAAGCUGGGUGCAGAGGCUGUAAGUGAUCUGUCGUGGAUGUGUGAAGGCUCUCUGAUCGACGUUCGUCUAGGCUGAGAGCAAUCUUGCUCGAUACGGCCGUGCGAUGCUCGAAAACCUCCCUGAAGAGACGACCGACCUCCUCAUCGACAUUUGCACCAGCCUCUCGCCUCUGACCGUCGAGGCAGACGAACCAGAGGCGACACCCACAGCGCAGAAGGGCGGCGGCGGCUCGUCCUACCUGUCCUACCUCGCCCUGAACCGAGCACCGGUCGCCAGCGUCCCCUUGCCAUCCGACAACGCCCCCUCGACCAUCCAACCCACCCCCACCAACAAAGCCGAGCCAGCCGCCGCCGCCCGCGGUCCCGCCACUCAGGACGCCGCAUCCCGACAAGGACAAGGCGAUUCCCCGACCGACACGCCGACGACGACCGCCAGCCCGACGAAGGCCCGGCCGGCCCCCGCGCCGGUCAAGCGGCCCUCGCCCCGGCUCUACUUUGCGCACUUCGUCGACCACACGGACCACUUUGUGCGCUUCCUCGAGACCGUCGCGCGCAAGCGCUGGGGCCAGGCCGUCGAGAACGCCGGCGCCCCGCUCCCCGUCGACCCCAACCCCAAUCCCAACCCCAACCCCGACCCCGACUCGAACCCCAACCCGGGCCGGAACAUGGACUCGGCCGCCGCGGAGGAGGAGGAGGGGGAGGAGCGCGACCAGGCGGCGGUGUGGAACACGCUGUUCGAGCUGUACCUGGCAGCGGACAGCGCGAAGGCGCUCGCGCUGCUGCAGAACGCGCGGCGGCUGCCGUACGACCCGACGCACGCGCUCGUGCUGUGCUCGACGCGCGCGUUCACGCCCGGGCUCGUGCUCCUGUGGGAGCGCAUGGGCAUGCACGAGGACGUCGUGCGCUUCUUCAUGGACCGCCACCGCGCGGGCGACGCCGGCGCGAGCGCUGAGGUCGUCCGCCGCCUCGAGCGGUAUUGCGAUGGGGGGAACGGCGGGGAGGACAGGGAGGACAGGGAGGACGGGGAGGACAGGGAGGACGGGGAAGGGGGGGAGGGGCGCGGGCGGGCGCGGCGCCUGUACCCGCUCGUGCUGCGGUUCCUGACGAGCACGCCGGCGCUGCUCGCGGCGCACCGCGAGGACGUCGUGCGCGUGCUGAGGGUCAUCGACGAGGAGAGGAUCAUGCCGCCCGUGAGCGUCGUGCAGGUGCUGAGCAGGAACGGCGUCGCGAGCGUCGGGCUCGUGAAGGAGUGGCUGAUGGCGAGGAUCAAGAGCGCACGGGAGGAGGUCGAGACGGUGCGUCCGCCUUUGCCUCUCUUAUUCCAUUCCUUUGUGUUGUUCGUGGGGGCUGAUCGAUCGUGUGUUGUAGGACCAGCAACUCAUCCUGUCCUACCGAAUGGAGACGCAGGCGAAGCUGCGCCAGGUCGAGGAGCUCACGGACCCCGACAAGCCGCGCGUGUUCCACGUCACGCAGUGCGCCGCCUGCCAGGGCGGCCUCGACCUCCCUGCCGUCCACUUCAUGUGCAACCACAGCUACCACCAGCGGUACGCCCUCCUGCUUUCAUUUCCGUGCUCCUCGUGCUAAUCGGGUUUUACGCAUUGUGCUUGACUUUGGAACAGGUGUCUGGCAGAGAACGAGACCGAGUGCCCGAACUGUGCGCGCGAGCACGGCAUGAUCAGGGAGAUCCGGCGGAACAACGAACGGCUCGCGGACCAGCACGACCUCUUCCUGUCGGAGGUGCGCGAGGGCGGGUUCAGUGCGCUUGCGGCAGGCUUCAGCCGUGGGACGUUGAACGUAACGAGGGUCGAUGAGCUCGCGGCGUAAAUUUACUUAGUGUUGCUCUCAGUUCAUACUUGUUGUAUACCCGGACUCCGUUGCGAGGGCCCAUUCAUCAAUGCAUCAUGGCUGCCACGGUUGCCAUUAAACUUGAGCGACUAAGUUAUGGGGGAGACACCCUGGGCCGAGGGUGCACCAAGCGAGCGAUGAAGCCCCGAAGCUUGAUCAUAGCAUUAAGGAUUCCUACGAGGUGUUCUGAACUAAUAACGCUCAGACACCUCAUGUUACCGUUGGCAAAUUGUCACAAGAGUUUUUUUCACUUUCGCCGACGAAGGUAAUUGUGGUGUGGUAUUAGUACAUGUAUGUAUAAUAUGGCUACAAAUACACAGGACAUGGAGAUGUCGUCGUAUGUAUGUUACUCGUGGCAGUAUAUGCAAACAAGGCCGGCUAUUGCAACGACACGACACAUCGGCAUCAUCACGUACAUAUACAAAAACGGUCCGAUCCGAGGACCCAUCACGGCGGAGAGGCACAAGGCAUGCCAAUACGACAGGGAACAAGCGAUGACGACACGACGACACGGGGGGAAGGGGCGAGUGCGCUGUCAGUGUGUGUUAUGAUGAAACCCAACGGAACGAGCCACGCCCGGCCGAGGCUGGAAACGCUGGCGCCCCCAGCUGGCCGGAGCGCAUCGAGGUCGCCUCAGGGUCCUACCCCCCCCCCCUGCCCGCCUCGAAGGCCCCACAACUCUGGCCCAGCCCCGCAAAACAAGCGCAGGCGCGGGCCCGCCCCAUGUGCCGCGAAGGGCGAGACCCAGCUCCACACCGCAGGGGCCGACUACAAAGCCCCCCCUGCGCGCACAGUAGGCCCCGCGACGGUGCGCCCGCCCCACCCCAGCAAUACUAUAAUCUCGGUGUCCGGUGCGUUUCGUUGCGCAUCCCUCUCCUGUCCUCACAGUCAUUUUUCGCGCUACCAGCAGCAGCAGCAGCGCCCGCCAGCGUCGCCGGCACGCGCACGCGCACGCUCACGCGUACUCACUCGAUGACCUCGAAGCGGCUCCGCUUGGGCUCGCGGCCGUCAUGCGGGUCGUCGAGCGAGCGCUUGCUCGACUCGCCGAGCCCGUGCGCGGCGGCGACGUCGACGCCGUGGAAGGACUCGCCGUUGACGAGGUUCGAGAGGAUGAGCGUGUACUGCUCGUCCGUGAGGCCCAUGCCCGCGAGCGGGUUGAUCUUGCCCUCCUCCUCGUCCCCGGCCCCGAGCGAGAAGCCGAUGGGCAGCGCGCCGAGCUGCUGCUGUUGCUGCUGCUGCUGCUGAUGGAGGGCGCUGGCCUGGAUGGCGAGCGCGUUGUCGAACGACGGGUCCGACAGGGGUGGGACGCCGACGGAGCGGGGCACGCGGGAGAGGGUCUGGAUGACCUUGAGGUGGGUGAGGUGCUUCUCGAGGACCUCCCAGAGGCCGUCCUUGGUGAACGGCUUGGGAAGGUGGUCGUUCAUGCCGGACGAGUAGUACUUCAUGAUCUCCGCUGGCUUCGAGUUGCUCGUCAUGGAGAUGAUGGGCGUCAUGUGGUCGAACUGGCGGAUGAGCGACGUCGCCGACACCCCAUCGAGUUUUGGCAUCACGAUGUCCUGUGAAACACAAUGCAAACGCAGCAAAAAAUAAUAAUUGGGGUCAGCCUUCCCCGAAAACCCAAACGCAAAAAAUAUUUUUUUAACCACAAAGCAACGCACCAUGAGCACCAAAUCGUACUUCUCCAGGUUCAUCUUGUUCACCGCGCCGACGCCAUCGACCGCAACGUCGAUCGUGCACCCAAAGAUUUGCAAGAACUUGCUCGACACCUUCCUGCUCACCGCGUCGUCGUCCACGAGCAGCACCCUCGGGGGCACCGCCCACCCGGGCACGUACGUCGACCUCCUCACGCGCAACGUCUGCGCGCUCCCCGGGCGCCCACUCGGGCCCGCCCCGGCAGCAGACGAGCUCCCAGCCCCAGCCCCAGCCGCAGACGCAGACGGGGCGGGGCCGCCAAUGAACUGGGUGGGGGUGGGGGGCGCGGCGGACGAGCUCUCGCCCUCCUCCUCGGGGUCGCCGCCCAUGCCCUCGGGCGUGGGCAUGACGACCUGGUUGAGCACGUUCGGGUCGAACGCCCAGUUCCCGUUCGCGUCCUCGAGCGACGAGCGCGGCAGCAGGUGGCCCACCGUGAACACCUGCAGGCCCUCGUGGUUCAUCGUGCUCGCGUCCACCGCGAGCCCGUACCGCGCCGCGUCCUCCAUCAGGAACGGGCCCGCGUCAAACGCCGCCGCGUCGAGCGCGCCCGGGGGGGCGGAGGGCCCAGCCGAGGGCGGGGGCGGGGCGACGCCCGAGGGGCUCGUCGAGGACGACGCGGCAGCCUGGGCCUGGGCCUGAGCCUGCGCUUGUGCUUGUGCUUGUGCCUGCGCCUGUGCCUGCUGUUGCUGUUGCUGUUGCUGUUGCUGCUGCUGCGCCUGCUCGCGUUGCUGCUGCUGCUGUUGCUGGGAACGCGCCUUCUGGCUCUGGCCGGACGACGACGACACAGGCUGCCGACCGGCCUGGGCCGGGCCCGCGUUCUGGGCCUGGUCGAGGGCGGGCGUCGGCCGCAUCCGUGUGAGCUCCUCGAUGCGCGCGAGCGCGUCCUGCCUGCUCAUCGGGCGUGCGGGCGCGUCCAUGCCCCCCGGCAUCAGCCCCGCAGCCGCGGCCAUGAUGGUGGACGCGCGCGAGCUGGGCCGCACGGGCGCCCCCCCGCCACUGGGCCCCGCCGCCGCCGCACCGCCCGCAGUGCCGAACGUCAUGCCAGCGACCUCGGCGCGGCGCGAGAUCUCGUUCAUCUGGGCGAGCGACGCGCGGGCGAUGUCACCGUCGGGGUAGGCGCCCAUCAUGCGCUGCGCCUCGGUCGCGGGGAGAAAGGGGUUCGGGUCUGGGGCGUAGGUCCCUGGGGCGGGGUUCGAGAUCUGUUCCGUCUUCAGCUUGCCUAGACCGUCGAAGGGGCGGUGGGUGAGAGCGGGCAGCGGGGAUUUUCGGAACGUGGUUAUCGUGUCACGUAGAUGGACGUUUCGCGGCGAUGAUGAUGAUCGCGUGUGUGUGUGUGCGUGCGUGCGUGUGCAGGAAGUAGUAGUAGGUAGCAGACCAGCCAGGAUUCCAUCCCGUUUCGAGUGCGAGGCAGAUGCGUCCGUGGGAUUUGCAACAAUGCGGAAUGCGGGAGACGGGAGAGAGAGAGCGAGAAAACAUAAAAAAGCAAUAGUACAAAUUAGCUUCCGGCCUGGUGAUUAAUAAACUACGAGGAGACAGUCCCACCAUUCUCCAACUGCAAGAAGUAUUGUAUCAAAUUCUGCAUGAGUCCGUCCUGCUGCGCCAUGUUUCGUUGGAAGUUGACCAUCUCAGACAGCACGUUCUGGUAGUUGGUCUCAAGGGAUCGUAUGUGCUGCGCCAUCUCUUCCUGGUCGCGGGCCAUACGAUCUAACUGCGCCUGGAGCGCCUCAACGGUAGCAGAGGAGGAUGGACUGGGGGAGUUUGCCCCGCGCCCGGUGGAUUUACGCUGAGCGGGCACCUUUCGCUUGAUGUUCUCAAGCGCAUCGCGGCGAUCAGCAUGGAAGUCAGGGUGUCGGAAUGUCCAGCUCUACAACGUGCGAGAGUCCGGGUGAACGCCAUUCUAAGAAGCACGGGGGGAAGGGGACGGAGAACUCACGUGUUCGCCAAACUGGUUAUCGUCCGUGUUCUUGACCUGGGGUUCUUUGUGUUCAUACCGGGUAUCGCGCAGGAGUGAAUGGGAGAAGACGUACUUUGUGGAAGUCAUACUUGUUUAGUUGGCGGACGAAGGAAGCGAAAUUGGAGUGCUUGAACAUGCGGGGGAGGAUGGAUUUCGUGAACUCGUUCAUGUCCUUGACGACAAAGCAGUCGCCGUUAGGACCCCACGAGACGACGUCGGCGAAGGUAGUGUCUUCAAGCAUCCUUUGUGGCAAAUUGAUAUUGAACGUCUAGGCUAGGGCCGAAUAUGAAAAGGGGAGGCACGCACUUGUAGAGCUUUUUGACAAAGUCGGAAGUGGAUGGCAUGCUGUCCUCCGGUUCAUGCUUGACAUGAGACGAGGCGAGGAUGCGGUCUUGGGAGGAGUCGCGGGCCAUUUCGCGGUCUGGGCGAUGUGGGGAGGAGUCUGAGAGGCGACGAGAGGGCGGGGGUAUGUCGUCGCGCGAGGAUGAUGGGCGGUGGCUGGACCAGGGGAGAGUGGAUGAGGCGGAUAGGGAGUGGCCGGAGAGGGGCGAGGCGGUGGCGGAGAGGGAGGGAUGGGUGUAGGUGGGCGGGGGGUAGCGAGAAGCGGCGGGAAGCUGUGAGAUGGGGGGGAGGGUGUUGUUCCUCGGAAAGGAAUUGAGGUGGAGCUGGGAGGGAGGCGGGAGGGUCGAGGAGGGGAAGAGCUGCCUCUGGAGCGGCGGAUACUGGGGCGAGUUGUCCAUCUGGCCUGGACUGUUAUGAGGGGUUGGGGAGGAGGAGCAGAGACGAGGCCGAGUUGAUAUCCCACUCUGUCAAUCCUCCUCCACGGCCCCAUCCCUCCAUUCCC
RNAcentral lists this long non-coding RNA (18641 nucleotides) under Ganoderma lucidum. Its description in RNAcentral is "long non-coding RNA (GLUC_LNC000039)". The record is from RNAcentral. Lineage: Eukaryota; Fungi; Basidiomycota; Agaricomycetes; Polyporales; Polyporaceae.